UGAAUACGAGACGCUAAGGCGUCGAAGUAGUGUAUGUCAUACUUCCAAGAAAAGCUUGCACUGUCAUAGAUAAAAAACGCCUGUAGCAUAACCGACACAGGUGGGUAGGUAGAGUAUACUAAGGGGCGCGAGAUAACUCCCUCUAAGGAACUCGGCAAAAUGACUCCGUAACUUCGGGAGAAGGAGUGUCUUAUUCUUAAGGUUGCAAUAACAAGAUCCAAGCAACUGUUUAUCAAAAACACAGGUCUCCGCUAAGUCGUAAGACGAUGUAUGGGGGCUGACGCCUGCCCAGUGCCAGAAGGUUAAAGAAGUUGGUUAGCAUUUGCGAAGCUGAUAACCGAAGCCCUGGUGAACGGCGGCCGUAACAAUAACGGUCCUAAGGUAGCGAAAUUCCUUGUCGGGUAAGUUCCGACCCGCACGAAAGGCGUAAUGAUUUGGAUACUGUCUCGGAGAGGGGCUCGGUGAAAUAGACUUGUCUGUGAAGAUGCGGACUACCUGCACCAGGACAGAAAGACCCUAUGAAGCUUUACUGUAACUUGAAAUUGAAAUUGGACUUUAUUCGCGCAGUAUAGGUGGGAGGCGUUGAUUAUAAUCUUGCGGGAUUAUUGGAGCCAUCUGUGAGAUACCACCCUUGUAAUGUUAGAUUUCUAACUUUGAAUCAUUAUCUGGUCAAAGAACAGUUUCAGGCGGGCAGUUUGACUGGGGCGGUCGCCUCCUAAACGGUAACGGAGGCGUACAAAGGUUUCCUCUGAACGGUUAGAAAUCGUAUCUAGAGUGUAAAGGCAUAAGGAAGCUUGACUGUGAGACCUACAAGUCGAGCAGGGACGAAAGUCGGUCUUAGUGAUCUGACGGUACUGAGUGGAAAGGCCGUCACUCAACGGAUAAAAGUUACUCUAGGAUAACAGGCUGAUCUCCCCCAAGAGUUCACAUCGACGGGGAGGUUUGGCACCUCGAUGUCGGCUCAUCGCAUCCUGGGGCGGUAGUACGUCCCAAGGGUUGGGCUGUUCGCCCAUGAAAGCGGUACGCGAGCUGGGUUCAGAACGUCGUGAGACAGUUCGGUCCAUAUCCGGUGUAGGCGUUAGAAUAUUGAGAGGAGCCUUCUUUAGUACGAGAGGACCGAGAAGGACAUACCUCUGGUGUACCAGUUAUCGUGCCAACGGUAAACGCUGGGUAGCUAUGUAUGGAGUGGAUAACCGCUGAAAGCAUCUAAGUGGGAAGCCCACCUCAAGAUAAGUAUUCUCAC
RNAcentral lists this ribosomal RNA (1243 nucleotides) under metagenome. RNAcentral describes it as "bacterial LSU rRNA". It matches the Rfam family "Bacterial large subunit ribosomal RNA", at positions 1564 to 2817 of the family's 2925-position model. The record is from RNAcentral.